Molecule: ribosomal RNA, 429 nt
Filed under: Chloroflexota bacterium
Lineage: Bacteria; Bacillati; Chloroflexota
Description: Chloroflexi bacterium partial 16S ribosomal RNA
Rfam family: Bacterial small subunit ribosomal RNA
Source: RNAcentral
UGGGGAAUAUUGCACAAUGGGCGCAAGCCUGAUGCAGCCAUGCCGCGUGUAUGAAGAAGGCCUUCGGGUUGUAAAGUACUUUCAGUCGGGAGGAAGGUGGUAAGGUUAAUAACCUUGGCAAUUGACGUUACCGACAGAAGAAGCACCGGCUAACUCCGUGCCAGCAGCCGCGGUAAUACGGAGGGUGCAAGCGUUAAUCGGAAUUACUGGGCGUAAAGCGCACGCAGGCGGUUGAUUGAGACAGAUGUGAAAUCCCCGGGCUUAACCCGGGAAUUGCAUCUGAUACUGGUCAGCUAGAGUCUUGUAGAGGGGGGUAGAAUUCCAUGUGUAGCGGUGAAAUGCGUAGAGAUGUGGAGGAAUACCGGUGGCGAAGGCGGCCCCCUGGACAAAGACUGACGCUCAGGUGCGAAAGCGUGGGGAGCAAACAGG